Molecule: long non-coding RNA, 212 nt
Filed under: Elaeis guineensis (African oil palm)
Lineage: Eukaryota; Viridiplantae; Streptophyta; Magnoliopsida; Arecales; Arecaceae
Description: long non-coding RNA (EGUI_LNC035058)
Source: RNAcentral
UUGUGAAUUAUUAUGUACGCUGCAUUUUGGUAGAUAAUGAAAGUUUUACUAAUGUAUUAUUUUAUGAUGCUUUCUCCCAAAUAGACAUACCCCGUAAGCGGCUGGGGCGACUAAAUUCAUCCCUUGUGGGAUUCACUGACAAUGCAGUACCUGUUGAAGGGGUUAUUACCCUAACAAUGGUAACUAAAAAAGCUCCCCAAUGAUCCUCAGCU